RNAcentral lists this transfer RNA (73 nucleotides) under Acidimicrobiia bacterium. RNAcentral describes it as "tRNA-Thr". It matches the Rfam family "tRNA". From Rfam's summary of the family: Transfer RNA (tRNA) molecules are approximately 80 nucleotides in length. Their secondary structure includes four short double-helical elements and three loops (D, anti-codon, and T loops). The record is from RNAcentral. RNAcentral also lists the same sequence under 1 other name. Lineage: Bacteria; Bacillati; Actinomycetota; Acidimicrobiia.
GCCUCCUUAGCUCAGUAGGUAGAGCACUUCCAUGGUAAGGAAGGGGUCUCCGGUUCGAGUCCGGAAGGAGGCU